CCUACGGGAGGCAGCAGUGGGGAAUUUUGGACAAUGGGCGCAAGCCUGAUCCAGCAAUGCCGCGUGAGUGAAGAAGGCCUUCGGGUUGUAAAGCUCUUUUGUCAGGGAAGAAACGGCUGAGGAUAAUACCUUUGGCUAAUGACGGUACCUGAAGAAUAAGCACCGGCUAACUACGUGCCAGCAGCCGCGGUAAUACGUAGGGUGCAAGCGUUAAUCGGAAUUACUGGGCGUAAAGCGUGCGCAGGCGGUUUUGUAAGUCUGACGUGAAAUCCCCGGGCUCAACCUGGGAAUUGCGUUGGAGACUGCAAGGCUGGAGUCUGGCAGAGGGGGGUAGAAUUCCACGUGUAGCAGUGAAAUGCGUAGAGAUGUGGAGGAACACCGAUGGCGAAGGCAGCCCCCUGGGUCAAGACUGACGCUCAUGCACGAAAGCGUGGGGAGCAAACAGGAUUAGAUACCCUGGUAGUCCACGCCGUAAACGAUGAGUGCUAAGUGUUAGAGGGUUUCCGCCCUUUAGUGCUGCAGCAAACGCAUUAAGCACUCCGCCUGGGGAGUACGGCCGCAAGGCUGAAACUCAAAGGAAUUGACGG
Molecule: ribosomal RNA, 587 nt
Filed under: uncultured bacterium
Lineage: Bacteria
Description: bacterial SSU rRNA
Rfam family: Bacterial small subunit ribosomal RNA
Source: RNAcentral